RNAcentral lists this ribosomal RNA (145 nucleotides) under Triticum aestivum (bread wheat). RNAcentral describes it as "rRNA LSU_rRNA_eukarya". It matches the Rfam family "Eukaryotic large subunit ribosomal RNA", at positions 1667 to 1811 of the family's 3401-position model. Lineage: Eukaryota; Viridiplantae; Streptophyta; Magnoliopsida; Poales; Poaceae. The record is from Rfam by way of RNAcentral.
NNCGGCGGGGGCCUCGGGAAGAGUUAUCUUUUCUGCUUAACGGCCUGCCAACCCUGGAAACGGUUCAGCCGGAGGUAGGGUCCAGUGGCCGGAAGAGCACCGCACGUCGCGCGGUGUCCGGUGCGCCCCCGGCGGCCCAUGAAAA